RNAcentral lists this ribosomal RNA (253 nucleotides) under uncultured bacterium. RNAcentral describes it as "partial 16S ribosomal RNA". It matches the Rfam family "Bacterial small subunit ribosomal RNA", at positions 524 to 776 of the family's 1533-position model. The record is from RNAcentral.
GACGGAGGGUGCAAGCGUUGUUCGGAAUUACUGGGCGUAAAGCGUACGUAGGCGGCGGAUUAAGUCGAAUGUUAAAGCCUGAGGCUCAACCUCAGAGAUGCACUCGAUACUGGUCUGCUAGAGGGUGAUAGAGGAAAGCGGAAUUCCCAGUGUAGCGGUGAAAUGCGUAGAUAUUGGGAGGAACAUCAGUAGCGAAGGCGGCUUUCUGGGUCACACCUGACGCUGAGGUACGAAAGCGUGGGGAGCAAACGGG